RNAcentral lists this ribosomal RNA (893 nucleotides) under Corallococcus coralloides. RNAcentral describes it as "bacterial SSU rRNA". It matches the Rfam family "Bacterial small subunit ribosomal RNA", at positions 63 to 934 of the family's 1533-position model. The record is from RNAcentral. Lineage: Bacteria; Pseudomonadati; Myxococcota; Myxococcia; Myxococcales; Myxococcaceae.
CGAGCGCGAAUAGGGGCAACCCUUAGUAGAGCGGCGCACGGGUGCGUAACACGUGGAUAAUCUGCCUGGAUGCCUGGGAUAACCAGUCGAAAGAUUGGCUAAUACCGGAUAAGCCCACGGUCUCUUCGGAGACUGAGGGAAAAGGUGGCCUCUGUAUACAAGCUAUCACAACCAGAUGAGUCCGCGGCCCAUCAGCUAGUUGGCGGGGUAAUGGCCCACCAAGGCGACGACGGGUAGCUGGUCUGAGAGGACGAUCAGCCACACUGGAACUGAGACACGGUCCAGACUCCUACGGGAGGCAGCAGUGGGGAAUUUUGCGCAAUGGGCGAAAGCCUGACGCAGCAACGCCGCGUGUGUGAUGAAGGUCUUUGGAUUGUAAAGCACUUUCGACCGGGACGAAACCGUAAAGCCUAAUACGCUUUGCCUUGACGGUACCGGGAGAAGAAGCACCGGCUAACUCUGUGCCAGCAGCCGCGGUAAUACAGAGGGUGCAAGCGUUGUUCGGAAUUAUUGGGCGUAAAGCGCGUGUAGGCGGCUUUGCAAGUCGGGUGUGAAAGCCCUCAGCUCAACUGAGGAAGUGCGCCCGAAACUGCAGAGCUUGAGUGCCGGAGAGGGUGGCGGAAUUCCCCAAGUAGAGGUGAAAUUCGUAGAUAUGGGGAGGAACACCGGUGGCGAAGGCGGCCACCUGGACGGUAACUGACGCUGAGACGCGAAAGCGUGGGUAGCAAACAGGAUUAGAUACCCUGGUAGUCCACGCCGUAAACGAUGAGAACUAGGUGUCGUGGGGAGUUGACCCCCGCGGUGCCGUAGCUAACGCAUUAAGUUCUCCGCCUGGGAAGUACGGUCGCAAGACUAAAACUCAAAGGAAUUGACGGGGGCCCGCACAAGCGGUG